RNAcentral lists this ribosomal RNA (81 nucleotides) under Ancylostoma ceylanicum. RNAcentral's name for it is "partial 5.8S ribosomal RNA". Lineage: Eukaryota; Metazoa; Nematoda; Chromadorea; Rhabditida; Ancylostomatidae. The record is from RNAcentral.
GAACGCAUAGCGCCGUUGGGUUUUCCCUUCGGCACGUCUGGUUCAGGGUUGUUUAUAUCUACUACAGUGUAGCUUGUGACA